Molecule: non-coding RNA, 67 nt
Organism: Lysinibacillus xylanilyticus
Lineage: Bacteria; Bacillati; Bacillota; Bacilli; Caryophanales; Bacillaceae
Source: Rfam
AAAAGAUGAACUCAGGCUAAGAACUUCACAUCCUGUGAAAACGCCUGAGUGACCAACAUCGUGUUGG